GUAUCCCUGGUGUAACGGCAACAUGACGAGCUCCAAACUCGUUCGAUCUGGGUUCAAAUCCUAGGGGAUGCGCCA
Molecule: transfer RNA, 75 nt
Filed under: Candidatus Obscuribacterales bacterium
Lineage: Bacteria; Bacillati; Candidatus Melainabacteria; Candidatus Obscuribacterales
Description: tRNA-Trp
Rfam family: tRNA
About the family: Transfer RNA (tRNA) molecules are approximately 80 nucleotides in length. Their secondary structure includes four short double-helical elements and three loops (D, anti-codon, and T loops).
Source: RNAcentral